AAUUAAUGUAAAUUACUAAAAUAUAAAAAUAAAUAAAUGAACGAAUAUAAAACGAACAACAUAUCAAACGUUCACCAACGUAAACGAACGAACGAGCCUUUUGUUCGUGUUCAUUCAUUUAAUUAAACGAACAUAAAAUCUUGUUCAU
This is a long non-coding RNA of Hibiscus syriacus, 148 nucleotides long. RefSeq lists it as uncharacterized. NCBI's taxonomy places the organism in Eukaryota, Viridiplantae, Streptophyta, Magnoliopsida, Malvales, Malvaceae. The transcript is spliced from 3 exons. The record is from RefSeq and is a predicted model, not a curated record.